AGCAUAGCAACAGCAGGGUAGCUGAACAUCUUACGGAUGGCCCAGGGCUCCAAAGGCUUGUUUCCUAAGUGAGAGAGAGCCCGGCUGAAGCUCUAUUACCAUUCAUUCUCUAGCCUCCGAAGUCUCAAAGCAUCACUUCCACCAUACUCUAAUUGUCAAGACAAACACAAAGUCCUAGGAUUCUUGAAAUGGACUGUAAAAGUCUGGAGUCAAGACUUUGUGUUUCCUCUCUAACAUGUAAAGAGCUUAGAAGUUGUUGCUACUGCCCUUACAACAAAUUGAAGCUGGACAAACUGAAAAUCAAUGACUUUUCUUGGACUCACUAUAGAGCUGAGUUUGCAGAGUAAACCACUACCCUGAAAUCUGGAGAGGCAGGUGCACCCAUAGAGUCUCAGCUGAGAUCCAAUUACCUGAAAUAGAAGCUGCCAUUAGGAACACUUAAAUGAGCCAGUUCUGCUGCGACACAGAAUCACUUGCUCCAUCUAAUACAUUGAUGAUGAUUAAUUUGUAUGUGUACCUUCCAAAAAAGAUGGUCGUGUUUGAACGGAGGCCUUCUGGACA
RNAcentral lists this long non-coding RNA (561 nucleotides) under Pongo abelii (Sumatran orangutan). RNAcentral describes it as "lincRNA". Lineage: Eukaryota; Metazoa; Chordata; Mammalia; Primates; Hominidae. The record is from RNAcentral.